AUUGGACGCUGGCUGCAGGCCUAACACAUGCAAGUCGAGCGAGCGGAGGACGGAUGAGUAAUGUAUGGGGACUUCCCGAUAGAGAGGGAUAAAUACUGGAAAGGGUGGCUAAUACCGCAUACUAUCGGAUAACCCAUAUGGGAUUAGCUAGUAGGUGGGGUAAAGGCUCACUUAGGCGACGAUCUCUAGAUGGUCUGAGAGGAUGAUCAGCCACACUGGGACUGAGACACGGUCCAGCCUCCUACGGAGGCAGCAGGGGGGAAUAUUGCACAAUGGGCGCAAGCCUGAUGCAGCCAUGCCGCGUGUAUGAAGAAGGCCUUAGGGUUGUAAAGUAUUUUCAGCGGGGAGGCGUUACCCGCAGAAGAAGCACCGGCUAACUACGUGCCAGCAGCCGCGGUAAUUC
Molecule: ribosomal RNA, 403 nt
Filed under: uncultured bacterium
Lineage: Bacteria
Description: partial 16S ribosomal RNA
Rfam family: Bacterial small subunit ribosomal RNA
Source: RNAcentral